UGAGGAAUAUUGGUCAAUUGGCGGGAGCCUGAACCAGCCAAGUCGCGUGAGGGAAGACGGUCCUAUGGAUUGUAAAACCUCUUUUGUUCGGGGAGCAAAGAGGCCACGUGUGGUCAAAAGCGAGAGUACCCGAGAAAAGCAUCGGCUAACUCCGUGCCAGCA
This 162-nucleotide ribosomal RNA is filed under the name uncultured bacterium. Its description in RNAcentral is "partial 16S ribosomal RNA". It matches the Rfam family "Bacterial small subunit ribosomal RNA", at positions 355 to 513 of the family's 1533-position model. The record is from RNAcentral.